RNAcentral lists this long non-coding RNA (295 nucleotides) under Elaeis guineensis (African oil palm). Its description in RNAcentral is "long non-coding RNA (EGUI_LNC009170)". The record is from RNAcentral. Lineage: Eukaryota; Viridiplantae; Streptophyta; Magnoliopsida; Arecales; Arecaceae.
GGCAGGGGAGGGCCACUCUCCCGGGUUCGGAGGGACAACUGACCGCCGGCACCAAAAAAUCCACGGGAAGAAGAGACCAAAACAGGGGUCUCUUCUCCGAUCAAAAAUCGGCGACACCCGUCGCCGUCAGUCGCGCACAAAGGCACGAGAAGAAGGGGAAAGAAGGGAGGAAAAGAAGGAGAACUUACUUCGGCCUCCGGUGACCCCGUCGGUGAGCAAUCACGGUGAGAACGAAGCAAUGAUCCGCGGCUCUAAUUCGAAAAAAUCGGAGAGGAAGAGAGGGAAAGAAGACCGA